GCCGAAGUGGCGGAAUGGCAGACGCGGUGGACUCAAAAUCCACUGUCCGCAAGGACGUGAGGGUUCGAGCCCCUCCUUCGGUACCA
RNAcentral lists this transfer RNA (86 nucleotides) under Polyangiaceae bacterium. Its description in RNAcentral is "tRNA-Leu". It matches the Rfam family "tRNA". From Rfam's summary of the family: Transfer RNA (tRNA) molecules are approximately 80 nucleotides in length. Their secondary structure includes four short double-helical elements and three loops (D, anti-codon, and T loops). Lineage: Bacteria; Pseudomonadati; Myxococcota; Polyangiales; Polyangiaceae. The record is from RNAcentral.